UGGGGAAUAUUGCACAAUGGGCGCAAGCCUGAUGCAGCGACGCCGCGUGGAGGAUGACGGUCUUCGGAUUGUAAACUCCUGUUAAGUGGGAAGAAAGACCAGUAUCUAAUACAUGCUGGGGAUGACGGUACCACUAGAGAAAGCACCGGCAAACUUCGUGCCAGCAGCCGCGGUAAUACGAAGGGUGCUAGCGUUGUUCGGAAUGACUGGGCGUAAAGAGCGUGGAGGCGGUUUCUUAAGUCAUCUGUUAAAUCACUCGGCUUAACUGAGUACUUGCAGGCGAUACUGAGAGGCUAGAGUACAGGAGAGAAAGGUAGAAUUCUCGGAGUAGCGGUAAAAUGCGUAGAUCUCGAGAGGAAUACCGGUUGCGAAGGCGGCCUUUUGGCCUGUUACUGACGCUUGAGCGCGAAAGCGUGGGGAGCAAACA
Molecule: ribosomal RNA, 427 nt
Filed under: uncultured prokaryote
Description: bacterial SSU rRNA
Rfam family: Bacterial small subunit ribosomal RNA
Source: RNAcentral